This 2955-nucleotide unclassified non-coding RNA is filed under the name Owenia fusiformis. RNAcentral describes it as "ubiquitin carboxyl-terminal hydrolase". Lineage: Eukaryota; Metazoa; Annelida; Polychaeta; Sabellida; Oweniidae. The record is from RNAcentral.
GUCCGUAGAUUUUUAAAUCACGUGACCACACUAGGUUAAAAUGGCGGAGGUAAUUUGAGACGGACCUGUCAAAAUUCCGAUCAUAUUUUAGCUUAUUCUCUGCAGCAUCAUUGAAUAGGUGAAAUUUCUCCGAAAAUUUGUCAAGGUCUCUGUGAUGAUCAUUUGGACAUUUGAUUGAUAAAUACAUCCCAGAGAUGAUUUGGCUAGAAGCGAGGAGACAGUGAUCCUCAGUUGAGUGUAUUGAAACAUCACUUCUGGACAUUAUUGGAUUAUUGUGCACAUUUUGAAGUCCAUCUAUGCCAGGAAGGAUUGGUGUUCAUUCCCCCUUAUCGACUUACGAUACUAAGCCUCAUUAUGGCACAUCUUACACUGACACCUAUAGUAGGCCCCUCAGUAACUCUAGCUCUCGCUCACUCUCACAAAGCAGAGUACCUGAUAGGGGGCGUUACUCAUCAUCAUUUGAUUCUUCGUCCACCCUGACGAGGUCAAGACCUUUACCUGCUGGUCCAGGCCCUCAGGAUGAAUAUGGCAGGAAGUAUGAAUUUAGACCAAAGUCUCGCAAUAGUUCUGUGUCAAGAAUUGGCCCGCUUAAAGCAGACCAUAACUCACCGAUUAAAACUAGUUCAUAUAAUGGAACUUCAGAUUGUGCAUUGUUAAACAGGCCAAAAAGGACAAAUAGUGUACAUAAUUUAUCUGCUGAAUUCGAAAGAAAACUGAGCACUAGCAAAACUUCAUCUGUUGCUUCCAGUAGGAAAUAUAAUAGUAUAGGUGAUAUCAAAUCUAGGACUAGAAACUAUGAUAGCAAGGUUGAUGAUGUGUAUGAAAACAGCGUGCCUGAUGGAGUCACAUCUCCUAGUAGAUAUCUUAGUAGGACUAGUAGCUAUGAUUAUAAAUCAACAAGGGGCUCUGAUAGGACGUCAUCUCUCCCACCUGUCACACACACAGAGCGAGGGAGGGCUCGGGAAAGGAUCAGUGAUGAUGUCACAUCUACGACUUCAGAACGAAUAUCUCGCAGAAGCUCAAGUACAUCAGCUGCUAGUAUAAGUUCACAGGGUUACUCAUCACCGAGGCAGUCAGGAUCUACCUGGGAACAAGGUGGCAAUGCAGGAAUGCGUAAUCUAGGAAAUACAUGCUUCAUGAACUCAGUGCUGCAAUGCCUGAGCAACACAAAGCCCCUCCUAGAGUACUGCAUGCAAGAACGUCAUAUCAUGGACAUCAACAAAACUACAAGCAGCUUAAAGGGGGCUCUUAUCAAUGCGUUUGUCUCUCUGUUGAACAGUAUAUGGAAAAGUGGAGAGUCUUACGUAGUUCCUACCUCACUCAAGGCCCAAAUACAGAAGUUUGCACCACGCUUUGGAGGAUAUAAUCAACAAGAUGCCCAGGAGUUACUAAUAUAUGUGUUGGAGGGGCUACAUCAGGAUGUCAACAGGGUAACUACCAAGGUGAAGCGUGAGAUCAUUGAUGACAAGCAGCUAGAGGGACUGAACACUUAUGAGCAAUCUCGCCUUUAUUGGAGGAAUUAUACCAAAGUUGAUGACAGCUUCAUUGUAGAUACGUUUGUAGGCCAAUUGCGGAGUACUCUAAGAUGUACAGAAUGUGAACAUAAAUCUCUAACAUUUGAUCCUUUCUGGGAGCUAUCUGUGCCAUUACCAAAGAGAGGUUACUCAGAUGUCUCCUUACAGGACUGUUUCAACCUCUUCACUGUGGAGGAAAUGCUGGAGGGAGACGAAAGGCCGAAAUGUGAGAAGUGCAAAACACGUCGUAAAUGUGGCAAAAGCUUCAGCAUACAGAAGUUCCCGCAAGUGUUAGUUGUCACGUUGAAGAGAUUCUCUCAGGAGAGGUUCAUGAGGAGCAAGCUGUCCACCAAUGUCACCUUCCCUGUCAAUAACUUAGAUCUCACCGAAUAUGCUGCUGACAAAUCUGGAGGUCCCUUUAUCUACAAUCUCUAUGGUGUUAGCAAUCACUCUGGGAGCACAUACAGUGGCCACUACACAGCAUAUGCCAAACACCCCUAUAAUCAUCAAUGGCAGCUCUUCAAUGACACAAGAGUCAGCAAGGUUUCAGAGCGACAAGUUGUUUCCUCUGAGGCAUAUCUCCUGUUCUAUGAACUGACAUCCAGUGGAACACGAUCAUCACGUCUAUGAGACCAAGCCAGGAAUCAUCAUCUUGUAUCUAUAAUUACCUACUUUCAUCAAUUUACAUGUACUCAACUAGUAGUACUGUACAUUUGCCAACUUAUUGUACAUGUACUCCUCUUUUACAAUUACUCAACUUAUUGAAAAUGUAUUCAGUGUACAUGUCAUCUUACUUACAUAUACUUAAUUAUAAAAGUUUACACAAUUACAUUUACAUCUACUCGACUUCAAAAAGCUGUGAAAGGAAUUACAGUGCAGUAGCUAGAUAUGACAUAAAUGUAGAAUGUCAAGUUGUACAUAAUGUACAUCUACUAUCUUGUUGUACAUAAUGUACAUACACCAAGAGAAUUUAAAGACCCUGGCAAUGCACAAUAACUCUGUCAUUGGCCAUGUUAUUAGAAUAUACAGUAGUUAUGAUUUAAAACUAUAGCGGUGUGAAUGUACAGUAUGCAUUGCAAGACUACAAUAUUUUCUACUUUGCACAAAUGCAAAGAUUUACAUUAAAAGUCUUCAUGAAUCUGAAGUCAAAAAUAAAUUAAUCAAAAAUUAACAUUUGUGAAAUGUUUCUAUGGUUGUUAAAUUUUUAUCACAAAAUUAUUUAUUGAAUGUUAUUAAAAGUUAUAAACUUUUUCUAUCUGUUUUUUAAGAUAUAUCUAAAACAUGAGAUUCAAAUGUAUUUAUCAUUUCCGUCUUGAGGUUUUUCCUACACAGGUACAACAUAGAUUCCCUCCUUCAUCAGUCUGAUAUACUGCGCUAAAAGUUGGUCUUAUUUGAGGUUAAUGGUUAUUAUGUCACCACCACAACUGUUGACAUAUUGUUA